Molecule: ribosomal RNA, 461 nt
Filed under: uncultured bacterium
Lineage: Bacteria
Description: bacterial SSU rRNA
Rfam family: Bacterial small subunit ribosomal RNA
Source: RNAcentral
GAUUCUGGCUACAGAACGAACGCUGGCGGCAGGUCUAGGCAUGCAAGUCGAACGGGUGUAGCAAUACAUCAGUGGCGCACGAGUGAGUAACGCGUGGGAAGCUACCCGAUCACUGGGGAAUAACGUUUGGAAACGAACGCUAAUACCGCAUACGCCCGAAAGGGAAGAUUUAUCGGUGAUGGAUGUGCCCGCGUUGGAUUAGCUUGUUGGUGGGGUAACGGCCUACCAAGGCGAUGAUCCAUGGCUGGUCUGAGAGGACCGAUCAGCCACGCUGGGACUGAGACACGGCCCAGACUCCUACGGGAGGCAGCAGCUAAGAAUAUUGGACAAUGGGGGAAACCCUGAUCCAGCCCAUGCCGCGUGAAUGAAGAAGGCCUUCGGGUUGUAAAGUUCUUUUAGUAGUGAAGAUGAUUGACAGUAGCUACAGAAAAAGCACCGGCUAACUUCGUGCCAGCAGCCGC